UGUCGUUAUUAUAAUAAUCCAUCAUAACACUCCAUUCAUUCGGAUAAUUUGUAUUUGGGCCUGCCUGAGCAGGCAAUGGCCCGAAGCUAUCAUCCGUUGGGUUAUGGCUGAACGCCUCUAAGUCAGAAUCCGUGCUAGAACGUGACGAUUACAGCCUUUUCCGAUUUUUAGUUGAACACGAAUAGAUCUCCGGAUCCUGAAUCAUACUACGUGGGGUUAUCUUGCAGAGCGGAAAGGCUUUGUGAGGUUCCUCCUAAUGUUAGUUUCAAAUAUUGGAAGAGAUAGAUCCAUUACAGACGAGUUUAAUUGAACGGGGCAUUGUAAGCAUUAGAGUAGCCUUGUUGCUACGAUCUGCUGAUAUUAAGCCCGUUGUUCUAUAGAUUU
Molecule: non-coding RNA, 384 nt
Filed under: Linnemannia elongata AG-77
Lineage: Eukaryota; Fungi; Mortierellomycota; Mortierellomycetes; Mortierellales; Mortierellaceae
Description: Mortierella elongata AG-77 Eukaryotic large subunit ribosomal RNA
Rfam family: Eukaryotic large subunit ribosomal RNA
Source: Rfam by way of RNAcentral